Long non-coding RNA from Telopea speciosissima, 84 nucleotides. RefSeq lists it as uncharacterized. The record is from RefSeq and is a predicted model, not a curated record. Lineage: Eukaryota; Viridiplantae; Streptophyta; Magnoliopsida; Proteales; Proteaceae. The transcript has 3 exons.
UGAUGAUGAUGGCUAAGUAUCGGCUGUUUUGGACUCUUUGUGUUGCCCAUUGCAUAGACCUCAUGUUAAAGGAUAUGGGAAAGA